This 254-nucleotide ribosomal RNA is filed under the name uncultured bacterium. RNAcentral's name for it is "partial 16S ribosomal RNA". It matches the Rfam family "Bacterial small subunit ribosomal RNA", at positions 524 to 776 of the family's 1533-position model. The record is from RNAcentral.
UACGUAGGGGGCUAGCGUUGUCCGGAAUCAUUGGGCGUAAAGGGCGCGUAGGCGGUCAGCAGAAGUCAGUUGUGAAAUCUCCGGGCUUAACUCGGAAAGGUCAACUGAUACUGUGCGACUAGAGUGCGGAAGGGGCAACUGGAAUUCUCGGUGUAGCGGUGAAAUGCGUAGAUAUCGAGAGGAACACCGGCGGCGAAGGCGGGUUGCUGGGCCGACACUGACGCUGAUGCGCGAAAGCCAGGGGAGCGAACGGG